CGGGCCACGAUUUUUCGAAAUAAACUUAAGUCUGAAGUUUUGACUUAAGUUAGAGUAUUACUCAAAUUUAAGAAAACGCAGGAAAUUGCAUUUCCCAGAUUAAACUGAAAUCGAUAUCAGACUCAAGCAUAGUUAACAAUUUGAGUUUGUCGGAUAGAUUACUUAAGUUGUUUGGGCAUUUUUAUUUUAAAAAUGUAGUUGAGUUAAAAAUUCAGCUGUUUCAAAUUGUCAAGCCCAGUUUGAUAUUUGAGCAAAAACUUAAGUUUGUUUCGAGAAAUCGGGGCCAGGAUCAGUAGUAGUA
Haliotis rubra (blacklip abalone) is the source of this 301-nucleotide long non-coding RNA. RefSeq lists it as uncharacterized. Lineage: Eukaryota; Metazoa; Mollusca; Gastropoda; Lepetellida; Haliotidae. The record is from RefSeq and is a predicted model, not a curated record. The transcript is spliced from 3 exons.